GACGUGCGGUGGACCCUGCGGCAGGGACCGGCCAGGCUGCCAGCCCCUCAGCCCCUCAGCCCCUCAGCCCCUCAGCCCCUCAGCCCCUCAGCCCCUCAGCCCCUCAGCCCUUCAGCCCCUCAGCCCCUCAGCCCCUCAGCCGCCCACGCCGCUGCUCGCUCACCCGCCCGGCUGCCUUAGGGGUCGGCGCUGCCCAGCGGGCUCCAGCGCAGCCUCCUACCCGGCAUCCCACCGGCCGCAACCGCCACUGACUCCUGGCCGCCCGCUACUAGUCGCGCGCGGUGGGCAGGGCCAGUCCGGGGGAGCGGACCCCGAGAGGCGCCGCGGGAUGGCAGGCGGUGUCUUCCAAACCCAAGCCUCCGAAAGCCGCAGCCGGGCUCGGGCCGCUGACCGACCCGGAGGCCCCGCUCUGUCCCAGCCAAGGCCUCCCGGAGCCAUCACCCACCAGGAGUCCCGGGCGGGGGCACCACCUGCUCCACGCUGUCGCGGGCUUCUGCGAGGCCAUGAUCCGUGCCCAACGCCAGCAAAGGGCAGCUUGUGCCCAAGAGUGGGGGAAAUGCAUCCUUUCCGGGGAUCUGAAAGCUCCAGGUCCUCCUGCCAGGAGCCCACGGCCUCAGAUGGGGCCCAGGAAGCGCCCGCGCUGGGGAAGCGCCCCCUGCACCUGAGCCCGAAAUUGUCCCCAACAAACCCCACACCCGCAGGGCUGACGUUUGGACUCCGGGGUGCGGUGUCGAUGAAAUGGGCACCGCGUGCUUUCCAUGCAAAAGACACGAAGUCUGGAGUUUAUGGAAUUAUUGAAGGAAAGCCGCGCCAGUGCCAAGAGAUCAUGGCCCAGAGCUGGCAGAACUGAUCAGACAAAUGCUGAGCAAAAGGCCUGAAGAAGACCAUCUGGAGGAGCAUCCGGAGGGCCUUCCCCAAAGCACCAGAUCGCCUUCCUUUCCGAGGCCACAAAGGCGAGAACUUCCAGAAAUAGCAUGAAACGUGAUGACUUGGUGACAUCCAAGCCUGCUGCCACCGUGGUUUCCGGCAAGGCAGAAUCAAGGCAUGAAGUAAUCUACCCCAACCACACUCCUCUGAGGGCUGAGCAAGACAUCGAUAGUGGGUGAAGGCAAGUGUUUGUCCCAGGAGAGGCCCAGGAUGGUUGCUCCCUUGAAGUCACCCGCCAGUCUGAAGGCCCAGGGGACUUGAGCAAUACCAAGAACUGGCCACGCUUCACAGGUCCACAAGUUGAAAGUGUACCCCCAGGAGCUGCACUAAAUGAUUUGUACCCAUCUGCACCUGAUUUAGAACGUUUAGAAGGUAAGAUUUUGAACUUCAAGUUUAUGAUGUUUAGGGGCCAUUUUGGACUUUGAGGUGAUUAGAUGAUAUGAUUUAGAUAACAAUACUUUGGAUUUGAGCUGAUGAUGAGAUGAAAUCUUUGAGAGGGAGUAAAUAUAUUUUGCCUUUAGGGAAAAUAUGAGCAUUUGAAAUUUAGAGGGAACUGUAUGGUAGGUGAUAUGAAGAUUUCUUCUAAGAUUUUCUUCCAUGGUAAACAAUUACCAUGCUGUGGGGAAGGCUGCGUGCCAUAGAAUGGUGGGCAGCCUCUAGGAGUUGAGAACAACUCUCCAUUGACAGGCAAAAAGAAACCAGAAUCUUCAGUCCUGUAACUACAGGAACUGAAUUCUGACAAAAACCAUUGAGCUUGGAAAAUGGCCUGAAAUAAAAUAACAGCCCUGCAUCCAACUUGGAAAGGAAAACCUCAACUUCUCUUUGUUUGCAGAUGAUACAAUCUUCUAUUUGGAGAAACCUAAAGACUCCACCAGAAAACUAUUAGAAUAGUUAAACAAAUUUAGUUAAGUUGCAGGAUACAAAAUUAACAUACGAAAAUCAGUAGUAUUUCUCUACGCCAACAGUGAACAAUCUAAAAAAAGAAAUUAAGAUAGAAAUCCCAUUAAUAAUAGAUAUAAAUAAAACAAAACACUUAGGAAUAAACUUAACCAAAGAAGUGAAAAAUCUCUACAAAGAAAACCAUAAAGCACUGAUGCAGGAAAUUGAAGAGAACACACACAAUUGACAUAUAUUCCAUGUUCAUAGAUCGGAAGAAUCAAUAUUGUUAAAAUGUCUAUACUACCCAAAGCAAUCUACAGAUUCAAUGCAAUCCCUGUCAAAAUACCAAUGAUAUUCUUCACAGAAGUAGAAAAAAUAAUCCAAACAAACCACAAAAGACCCAAAAUAGCCAAAGCUACCGUAAGCAAAAGGAACAAAAUUGGAGGCAUCACAUUACCUGACUUCAAGUUAUACUACAGAACUAUAGCAAUCAAAACAGCAAUGGACUGGCAUAAAAACAGACACACAGACCAGUGGAAAAUAAUAAAGAAACCAGGAAUAAAUCCCCACACCCCUGGGCCCUUUCCUGUCUCCCCUUGUGUUCAGGGGUGGCUGCUGCUCUGAGAACAUUAGAACUGGGAAGAGAGAUGGAGCCACGUGCGUUCUUGGUGGGCAUUAUCCUACACUUUUGGAUCCAAGUUAAUCCCCCUUAUUCACUGUGGCAUUGCCUUUCUAAGCAUUGCCCUGUGACUGCUGCUAAAGAACUUCUCACCGGAGGCAGGCAGUGGCCCUGGGCACUGCCCCUUGCAUUAGGUUUUGUGUUUGAUGUGCUCUUGUGAAUUUACUUUGUUAAAACAAAAUAUUUCCAUGAUGGGCUUGGGAAUCUCUUCCUUUAGCUCCCAAUCUGCUAUGAAAUUCAGGAAAACAUUUUUCCUGUUUCCUAGUAACCUCCUGUGUAGGUGUUGAUUGUUUCAAAGUGUGUCUGACCACUGAGGGACCCCCUGGGUGCCCCAGACUCAUUCACACCAGUGUAUGAAAAAUCGCCUGCAUUUCUGAGAUGCCAGCUGCCCAUUCAGUGCUUCACAGGAAGACACAUGGGCUUUCCCUCUUCAGGUGCCUGAAGGGAGUGCUUUGAGCUGAGUGGUUUGCUGGCCUCCCUCCAGCCCCAGGGCCCUCCAUGGGCCUGGGCUCCCUGGAGGGUCACUACAAACUCCCUGGAGGUUUCCUCUGGCACUAGGACCACUGCACCAUAUAGACCUGAGUGCUAUUGUAUUCUGGCUUGGUGUGUAUGCUUUUCAUUGUGCAAAACUGCUGCUCUUUUGACAAUUCAAGUGACUGUUUUGUUUACUAUAACCUUGAGAACAAAAAUUGUAACAAAAACAUUCUCAUGACUAUGCUGUGGUUGGAGAUUUUAUUACCAACAUAUUUACACCUUCCUUUUCCCUCUCAUUUUCAGGAGCUGUUUCAGGCCUCCUCCUCCUCCCGUAAUAACUUGCAGUCUUUCCUAUGUUAUAAUAAAGCUACAUUUUCUUCUGAAAACUGGCAGGUUCUCCCUUCCUAACGCAGGCAGCCGAAGAGAGGGUGUCAGGAGCCAGAGGGUAUCAAGAGCAGCCAGGGCACACCGGCCUGCAUGGGGGCAUCCCUGGUCCAAGUCAGUGGCCAGAGCUGCAGCCUGGCUUUGUGCCCAAAGUUUUGUCUGGGUAUCAGGAAGGCCAUGCACUCACAUUUCAUCUCUUUUUGUGACUGGUCUGCUGCUGGUUGACCCUCGUUCCUCCUUUUUUGGGCAGGAAGGUGACAUCCAGGAUUCAGGAGAGCCUUCUGACUUGGGUGUGCAUGAAAGUCACCUGAGGCCCUUGACGUGCAGGAAUCCUUGCCAGCCUUGGAUUGCAAGCCCCAGGCUAUGGUAUAGCAAUGUGCAUUUUGUAGCAAGCUCCCUGCGUGAUUGGAGUCACAAAUGGAAAGAAAUACUAUAAUCGGUGGAGAGAAGAUGUGCACAGCUAUACAAGUGUGUGGUUCUGUGACAUACCACGAGGUAGGAGUGGACCUUUAUGACAUCUUCUCCCAGCAACCCCACAUAUUUCCCUUGCCCUCAGUGGGUCAGGAGUCUCCUGCUUGGCCUCAUCUUCGAAUCUGAAGCCUCUGAGUUCUGAAUAGUUCGGCCCCCUACUUUUUUAGAUGCCUCUGUGGCAAACCUUUGUUAUCUGACUUUUCUUUUAUUUGACAGAGCCUCGCUCUGUCGCCCAGGUUGGAGUGCAGUGGUGUGAUCUCGGCUGACUGCAAGUCCCGCCUCCUGGGUUCACACCAUUCUCCUGCCUCAGCCUCCUGAGUAGCUGGGGACUACAGGCGCCUGCUACCACGCCCAGCUAAUUUUUUGUACUUUUAGUAGAGACGGGGUUUCACCGUGUUAGCCAGGAUUGUCUGGAUCUCCUGACCUCGUAAUCCACCCACCUGGCCUCCCAAAGUGCUCGGAUUACAGGUGUGAGCCACGGCGCCCUGAGGACUGGCAGACCCACCUGACUUUCUUGGAGUAGAGGAGGAAGAGGAGGAAGAAGAGGUGCAGGAGGAAGACCAGGUAGGAGGGCUGGUGGGGCCAGGACACCCCCAACCAUUGACUGCCCCAGAGGGUGACUCCAGAGGGGACCUGGUGCUAGAGCCCACCUGGGGGUGGCAGGUCCCAGUGUUUUUUUGUGAGUUCCUUCAUAGAGGUUUGAAGGUUCCUGAGGACCGCGUUGUCCUCCAGGGUCCAGCUCUGAGAGAGUCGCUCCUGAAACUCCCAGACAGUGCUCCAGGAAAGCUUCAUGAGGUGCUCUAGGGAGAGGGCGGGCAUCAGGCCAGGAGGGUUCCCUGGGAGGGGACAGUGCCUGCACCCCAUUUCUACCAGGCCCACCUCCCACUGGGUGGUGUCUGGUCCUUUUUGGCCACCCUGGUGUUCAGCUGUGCACAGGAGGCUACAGUUGGGGAAGGCAGGGCAGGGAAGUGCUCACCACACUCCUGAUUUUCAUCUGGGUCAUGUGGGGGAUGGACUCAGUGUCAUCAUGACUUGCCCAGCCCAGCAGGCCAGACCUCCCAACCCGGAUGGAGCAGGCAGUGUAAGGACACUUCCCUCAGGCCAGCCGGGGUCUGUCCCACAUGUUCCCCCAAGCACCCUCGGGCACACGGGACUUACUCCUGUGUAUUUUGAAUGAUGCAUGCACCAUGGCUGUCAGUACCCGCGCGCCCUCCAAGAUGAACACAUCCCACAGUCUCAGGGUGAGCCCGAAGGAUUUCUGUGGGGACAGCAAGUGUGGGAGAACCUGGCCUUUCCAAGCUGGGGCCAGUGGCCUGAGCAGAGCCCACUGGGGUUUCAGGCCCCUGGAGUGCUGGGGACCCCUCUCCGUGGGAUGAGACCCCCAAAAGACUGAGUCAGACAAGGUCCUGUAGCUCCUUGUGAGGGACUCAUCUCAACUGCGCUGUGGCUUCUGGAAAGAGGGCUUCCUGAGGACUUGGGCUUCCCUGGGCCCUCGCAAGUCGGGUCCUGCCCCAGUCUGCCCAUGAGGCUGGGCCUGAGCCCUGGCCUCUGCCAUGGGAUGCCCCCUCUUGGGCAGAUCCUGGCUUGUGAGCCCUGCAGGGACCUGCCUGUCCUCCUGGGGGAGCUGGACCCCUGGGCUGGGGGUGCCGGGCACUGCAGGGCAGGAGAGUCCCAGGGCUGGGGUCUCCCUGUGCCUCCUUACCCCAUCAAGGAAACACCGGAGGAGCCUCGUCAGCAUGGAACCCUCAAUGCACAGCCCUUCCUUGCCCUGAAGGGAGGAGCAGACGUGCUCAGGGCCCCCUGGGCUGCCCUGAAAUCCUCCCACUUCCAGGCCCCUCUGCAGACCUUCCUUAAUGGCACAACCCAGGGCGGUGGCCAGGGCUCCAACACCUGCCCCAUGCAUGGACGCCCGGUGGACACACUUCUUUUAGCCCUGCUCAGCUGCAGCUCGGCCCUGGUCCCAGCGCCUCUGCCUUUGCCAGGGCAGGAAAAGGAAACCCAACACUGAAUCUAUGGGGAAUCCCCAUCCCAGGUCAGGCCGUGGCUGGGACUCAGCCUCUUGCCAGCCCCAUGAGGGACUUGAGCCUCCCCUGGCCUAUGGGGCCCAGGGCGUCUGGUUAGGAGCUGAGGGUGUCAUCCACUCACCAGGUGUCUCAUGAUCUUUGGGAAGGACUUGUGCAGCACCUGCUCCUGGUGCGAUAGGAGCCUCUCGAGCCGGGCAGUAUUUGGGCUGUAGAAUACUGAGAAGCCCCUGACCCAUCACCCCACCAGACCCCACGCCCAAAAUGUGGAGGCAUCAGCUGGAAGAGCUGGGCAGGGCAGGGGACCCCAGACCCCGAGGCCUCCCUCCCUCCCAUGUGGUGACCCCAGCAUGUAGCCUCAGCCCUGGGGAGGAGGUCCCUGGCUGGAGGCACUGCCUAGCGGCCUCCUGGGUCCAGGUGCCAGGAGGGCAGCCUGCAUUUGACACCACAAGGCAGGCGCCAGCGGGGAGAACAGGGUGGGAGCUGGGGGCUAUGUGGCUAUCUCUUGGAUGUGGAGGUCAGGCUGGGGGACAUGGGAUGGGCAGACACUUCCAUCUUGGCUUUGUUGGCCCAUCUGUAGGGAGGGAGGGUGGCUGGGAGCACAGCCAGCUGGGAGGCAGGAAGACACUCAGGGAGGUGAGUGGUGCCUGCACAAAGUUGGGGCUGGCUUCGGGCGACAGAGGGCAGCCAGGGGGGAGGUAUCCAUGCCCUCUGAUGUUAGGGAUGAAAGGCGUCUGACUUGAGGUGAGGGGGUUCCUGUCCAGACCCAGGCUGCUGUAGGACCUCAGCAGGGACAUCCUGGAGGCUCCAAACAAGCUGGGAUACAAUGCAGGCACCUUGCCUGGAAGUCAGGGUCACUGGCCAGGGUGGCUGUCCCCUGGCAUGGCUGUGUAAGGCCCCGGGGGCAGCUGUCCACCUACCUGCAGGGAGUGCCUCUCACCAGCGAGCAACUGGGUAAGCGCCCAGAAAGCAUCUUCCUCUGGCAGACACAGGAGGAGGAUGGCAGUGAUGCGGCUCAGGUCCCUGUGGUAGCCCACCUCCUGCAAGAGCCAGAGUCACCGUGGAAGGAUGUCACCUAGGAGGACUGAGGCCACCUGGGAGGACUUAUGUCACCAGAGGUGGCAUAGGUCUUUGGGGACACCUGCCUCAGGCCCCAGGGGAUUUGAGGUGCAGCCUCUGCACCCCUCCCCUGGCACUGGACAUGAGGACUGAGCAGGUCACGCACAACUCAGUUGACAAGGAGCAUGGGGGGACUCCUGCAGCAAGUGUCCAAGCUCACAUGGCCCAAAAGGGCACAGUCAGGGAUUGUUCAUGCUCCCUCCCCUGGGCCAGGCUGGGGAGGCCACUGUGCCAGGCCUGGGGCAGCACCUGUGAACUGCACCUGCCACGAGGGCAGGCGGCGGGGCGCUGACCACCACACAAAAGGUCCUGCAACAGCCCAAGGGCUGCCUGCCGGACAUAAGGGGUGGCUGGGUCCUCCAUGUGGGCAGCUCAUGCAGUCAGCUCAGCAGCUCUCCCUGCCUGGAAUGGUCUGGAAAGUGGGGGCCAAGCAGGAACAGCCACCUGGGUGACCCCCCUCCCUAUCUGCUAUGCUCCUAUGGGGUUCAGGCAAAGGGGAAAUUGGAUCCUUGCCAGGUUUCCAGUGAAGAAGAGGCUCCCCCAGGAUGCAAACUCAUUUCAUGACAAGUGCCUGGCCCAUCAGGCACCUCAGCAACUUGUCAAACCUGUCUCCUACAAGGACCAUCCUGUGUGGGACCCUGCCAAGCUCCUAGGCUUUGGGGCAACACCAGGAGGGGAAGGUCAUUUCUUCAUCUGAGACGUGGUGAUUGGGUCCAUGUGACACCAGGAGUCUGGGCUUCAACCCUUUUCUGCCAGCAGCGAGCUGAAGUCCUGCCUACUACGUCCUGGUGGACAAACACUGAAUUUUCAAGAAGUUGCAACACCCCCGAGAGACACCCAUGCCUGUGAAUAUGGGCACAUGUCCCAGGAAUAUUGCUGCCCGGGAAUACUCGCAGGGUUAUAUGCAGAAUAGGCCACGAGGAUGUCACAUAAUUCCUGCUGCCUAGAAAAGAGGGGAAAGAGGGUUUUGUUUUUUUGUGUGCAGACGCUGUCAAUUUCAUUUUGUCUACAAACCCAAAUAACGAACACAAUUCUGGGUUCAGAUGAUCCCCCCAAAUAAGCAGUGAGCUCUUUAGGACACCUGAGUUUUUAGGAAUUUUUUUCAGUAAAAUCCACAUUCCUUGCAAUGCAAUGUCGUAGGUGUACAGUUGGAUCAGUGAUCAUUUUUCACUCUGGUUGAUUUUUUCUUCCCCUUUUUCUCAGUUUGCACACACAGAAGUCCAGUCUUUGGGACGUGCAGUUCCACGGUUCUGAACUAAUGUGCAGAGCCUCCCGUCCACCACUGCAGCCCCUCCCAGAGCGGCUCCUUCAUCUUCCAAGUCCCCAGCAUGUCACCUUUGCAGCCAACGUCUCCCGGCUCUGUCAGCCCCUGGCCAUCCUGAUCUGUUCUCUGUCUCUAUGGUUUGCCCUUUCCCAGAAUGGCCAAUGAAUUGGAAUCCCAUGGUGGUAGCCUGUUGGGUCUGGCGUCAUUCCCUCAGCAAUACUCAUCUAAGAUCCACCCAUGUUCCUGCGGGCAUUGGGGGUUCGUUCCUUUUCCUCACUGAGUCGCCUCUGUCUGAAGAGUGGAACCCCCUUCCUCCUUAGUUCCCAUGUUGAAGAUCAUCUCCGUAGCCUCCGGGUGUGAGUUACAACCAAUCAAGCGGUGAACGUCACAUGUGGGUUUUACUUGGACGUCAGUUUUCAAAUCAGUGUGGCCAAUAUCUGUCACACUUUGGGGAUGUGUGGUAAGAGGCCACUGAACUUUGUGAGCCACAGCCCAUGUGACUUACAAAAUGGCUGUGCCCUGUCACGUUCCCACCAGCCAUGGAUGAGAGUUUCCGGGGCCCCGCAUCCUUUCUAGUAUUUUGGGCAGUCAGUGUUGCCUGGGAAGGCUCCCAAGCCCUGCCAUCGUGCCACCUUCCCAUGGGUCCCUAUCCUGGAUUGUUGUGGGUCAUGGAGAGCACUUUUCACCAUCUGCAUGACUCUUUUUUUUUUCUGCCUUCCAUCUCCUUGGGAGUCACCUGGGUUCUGGCCCUACAUGUCCCAGCCCGGCCCAGGGCUUAGAGCCGGGAGGUGCUCAGUCCAUGGUGCCGGCUGCUCCCUGGGCCAGGAGAGCCCUUGGUGGCUCUGGCACCUCUCCUGGGUGACCCUGGCCUCUGCCCUGGGGACAACCUCAUUCCUCUGGAUUGCCCCAUCUUCCCUGGGACCCCUGCAAGCCCCAUUGGCCUUACUUGACUCCGAAUCUUUGUAUGAACAUCAUGUGUUUCUGCAGGGUGUGGCUGACAUCUAGCUGGAUGCAGUGGAUGAUUCUGGAGGACCUCUUGCCCUUCUCCUUCAUGACCUGUAGGGCGGGGCCAAGAGGAGGAAGCAGCCUCAGAACAGACAAAAGACUCCCUGCCCCAAACGGCAGUCAUCCCACAGUCAGCACUUCUGGAAGGAAGGAAGGAAGGUUUCCUUCUGCAGAAAGCUCCUUUUUACUUUGUUUCUGACGCCAGGGAGGGUCAGCAGAGCCCAGCGCACCUGUGGUGCCUGAGUUACCAUCUAUGCCCAGGAUGUGCGUCUGACCACAGCCCCCACCCCCAACCCAGGCUCAACGUUCCCUCCAGCUGGAGUCCUGGGCUCCUGAUACAGUCUAGCUUGUUUGUACUGCCCUAGCUGAGUGUGGGAGGGACUUACCUUAUAUUUGCAUGGGUUCUGGGACUUGAUUCUGUCAAUAUCUAGCAAAAGUGACCAUGCCCGGCCCCGUACCGCCAGGGGAAUGACUUUGUAUACUCUUUGAGACAGCUACAGACAGAAGAACACUCCAGUGAGAAAGGACAUGGGGCGACCCCGCAGAGGAAAGCUGGCGAACAGGCCUGCAGUCCUAUGGCAAGGAUGGGGUACCACCCACCCACUGAGAGGCAGACGGUGCCAGGUCACAACCAUGGGCGCCUGUCUCCUGGCUCUGCAGAGAGCAGUCACGCGGGCCACUUCCUCCCCAUGUUACCUUCUUGGUGCUCCUAUAUUUUGUCCAGUCUGCAAGCAUCUUUUGCCACUUGUUGGUACGUUUACUUUCCUUGCAUCUUUGCUGUCAAAUGAGCCAAGAUGGAGUUAGCGGAGCUGCCAGGCGUCUGACAGUGGCCCGUGGAUGCUGGGUCCAGGGCUUUGGGGCCCUGAAGGGACCCAACCUGAAGAAGCCAGGAAAGGGCAGGCCCCAGGGGCUGAGACCCUCUGAAGGAACUGGAGCUGGUAGUCUGGACUGGUGAUGCCACGACAUGCCAUCCUCAGGCCAUAAAUGCCCCAAGUUUUGGUCAGGUCCAGCCUUCAGCUGGGGUCUUGGUUCAAACAGGCAGUGGACUCUGAGCCAGGACUGCAGUUCUUGGUUUGGGUUUUGGUCAAGCCCUCAUGGGAACAGAGUCCAGCAGGAAAGGCCACCCCUCCCAGUGACAGCCGUGGCCCACUCACCACCACACAGGCCCACAGGCCACCCCCUCUGCCUUACCGACCACCCGAUUCCCAGUCCCUGAAGCAGCCUCCCACGCAGCAGGCACAGGCUCUUACCUUCACCUCCAGGGCACUGACGCGGGGCAGCUCCAUCUCACUGUAAGGCAACCCAGGCAGAGCUGAGGACCUGCCCAGGCCAGGAGCCAUCCCUCUCCCUGAGAGGGCCCCAGGGAAGGACCAGCCUAUCCCCAUCCACCCUAAGCCUCAGCCUGGGACAAGGCACAGAGAAGGAAGGCAAGGGCCUCCCUGCGGAUCUGACACUAGCAAGGCACUGGGACCUUGGAGAAGAGGGAGCUCAAGGCUGGCCCUGGGUGGGGGGGACACUUGAAGCCCGUGGGGUGCCUUGGGCUGCACAACGGUGCUGCUCCUCCUGGGCUGGAGGUGACACCCUCUGUGGACGCUAAGAAAGUCCAGUUCUGAGAUGGGAUGGGUGCCACCCAGGGUGGGUGGCCAAGCCCUGACUAACAGCAGUACCUCAGGAGUGACCACAUCACCCACCAGAGUCCAGGGAGCCUGGCCUGAGAACUGCCCAGUGCCCUGAGGAUGCACCUGGAGCCCAUCCCAUCUGACACUCCCCAUGGGCCUUGCAAGGUCUGACCUCCCAGCGUGCACCUGCCUCUCCCUGCAUCCUGGCCGCUCACCCUGCCUGCUCCCCAUCUUCCCCCAUCCUGCCCAGCCCAGACACUAUGACCCUCUCUCCGGCCACCCUGGCCCUUCUGUGACCCUUGUCCUUUCAGAACUUCUGAGUGAGACCUCCCAGAUCCGUCCACACCCAUGCCUUGGCCACUCUCUGACUGGGCUGCCCAGCACUGCUGGGGAGACAUCCAGGGCAACAAGGAUGACCAAGGGCCCUGCAGGCAGUGGGGCUGGCCCCAGCACUCCUGCUCCAGCCUCAGCUGGCUCUCAGAGUCAUUGGACUUCAGCCCUCAGCCUCCUCCCAGCCACUGCAAAAACCAGGACAUGGGAUGCUUGGCUGUCCUCCCCUACUGUCCUGCCUGCCCUGACUUGGCCCCUCCAUCCACCCUGCGCAGUGCUGACUGAGCCAGCGGGAAGCAGAAUCUCUGGAGGGCCAUGCAGAGCCUUGGGGACUGACCAAGUUCCCCCACUGAGGGGUCCCAGGCUGGACCGACAGGAGAGCCUGGGAGGAGUUCUGAUCCUGGAGAGGAGGUUGGCCCAGCCAGGGAGACAUGUCCUGCUUCAGAGAGGCCUUUCUAAAAACAAAACCCAUCCCUGAGGUGAGAUUGGUGGCUGGGGUCGGGGGGACAGAGGACUUACUGCACAAUCCCGAGGUUAUUGGUGUAUUUUCCAACAUCAACCUGCUCAUGCCCCAAGUCCACUGCUGCCCCAGCUCGGUGUCCCUGAAACCCAGAGGAGGCCAGGAUAGUGGGGGUAAGGUGAGAGGUGUGGGAGGCCCAGGGAUGUGGGCAGCCCCUCCCCACCCUGUGAUCUUAGGAAGCCCAGGACCCUGUGACCAGGGCACAGCGGGAGAGGCGAGGCCCUGCCUCCCUCGAGGGAGCGGCCCAACUUGUACCUGCUCAUACUUAGUAAUGAUGAUAUUGCCUUGCCCCUGGGCAGGCAGGUUAUCCGGGUCCUCAUCCAUCUCCAUCCUGCAAGACAAAGUCAUCCCAAGGCUCUCCCGCACCCAAGAGCUCCAGAGAACAGCCAAACCACACGCACUGCACUCCCAGACACACUCCAGUCUGGUGAGCCCCAUUCCACUACCCCUCCCAGAUGACAAGGGGCCAGACUCAGUGGCCCCACCCCUGACUAGAUCUCUGAAGUCCUUGCCUCCAACCAGUGGUGGGCUCCUUCCUGAGGAUUUGAGCACACGGGGACCUGGACAGAGAGGCCUAUUGUCCCCGAACACCCCAAGGCAGACACACACCUGCCCUGGCAGGACAAACGGCGUCCACUUGCUGAGGGUGAAGUCCCCACGAUGGGCUGUUCUGGGCACCUGGAGGCAGGUGGAGUCAGGGACUGGAUGUCUCUAUAGGAUCGUUCAGGGACCAGGAAUAUAAUCAGUUUUCUGUAGGAAGCAAGACAUCUGGUGACUGCUCCGUUCUACCCCAAUUCUCACUCACUCUGGCCAGUGAAGCCGCUUCAGGAACAACGCCAGCCAAGCAGUUUGGUUUGGGGAAAAGAUGAUCUAUUGACUCCAGAGCAGCCUCUGUGCUCAUGGAGACCCCAUCGCAGGUCGAGGACGGUGGACACCACAAUUCCCAGCUGUCAAUACAGGAGGGGACUUUGUUUUCCUGGGUCACCAAGAAAGAACAAGAGAACGCUGGGGCCUUAGUCCUAGAGAACACCUGGGGGAACCGUCCCCCCCAGGAAUACACGGGGCAAACAGAAGGCAAGGCCUCUAGAGGACCAGACAGAGAGAAUGGGACGCUGCAGGAGGGUUCCAGUCCCCAAGCCUCUUUGACCAGGAGAGACGAUUGUCACCCUCCAGGCAGCCCUCCAGGGCUCCUUCAUUUUCCACAACUGCCUGAGGGCAGAGGGCUCCCCACCCCACUCCUAGAUGAAGGACCCCAUGUGUCCAGUGGGUCCCACAGCAACCAUCAGUGAUCGCACUUUAGGUCUGAGUUGGUGAGACCUCCUCCUGUGGGGACCAAGCUUAGGGCACAGACUUGGACCAAGAAUUUCACCCUCCACCCCACCCACAGGGGCUCUGUCCCAGUGGCUCUUCCAGGACCAGACCCUGCCUCAUUGAAUUCCAGAACUCAAGGAAGAUUUGGAAUCUAGGGUAGAGAGGCCUCAGCGGUCAAAGCUCAAGUCCAGCAUGGCAAAGGGUAGGGCUGAGUGCACGGCCCGGGUCACAUCUGGGUCCUGGGCCAGUCACCGCCUCUCUGACUCUACACAUCUCACCUGUGGAAUGGCUACAUUUGGGGACAGCACCCAUCGCCACAGAGUCUCUGUGAGGACAAAAGAGAGGAUGGUCCACGCCGUCAGUGCAGAACAUGCACCCGCUACCCUUGCCCCACCAGGAAUCCCCUUCUGGCAGAGUCAAUGAGGCGAGGAAGAUGGUCACAGAAUCCAUGGAAAGAAAGAAAACAA
Molecule: long non-coding RNA, 13470 nt
Organism: Pan troglodytes (chimpanzee)
Lineage: Eukaryota; Metazoa; Chordata; Mammalia; Primates; Hominidae
Exons: 4
Source: RefSeq, a predicted model, not a curated record